GGGGGACCAUCCUCCAAGGCUAAAUACUACUGACUGACCGAUAGUGAACUAGUACCGUGAGGGAAAGGCGAAAAGAACCCCGGAGAGGGGAGUGAAAUAGAUCCUGAAACCGUAUGCGUACAAGCAGUGGGAGCCCACUUUGUUGGGUGACUGCGUACCUUUUGUAUAAUGGGUCAGCGACUUAUUUUCAGUGGCGAGCUUAACCGAAUAGGGGAGGCGUAGCGAAAGCGAGUCUUAAUAGGGCGUCUAGUCGCUGGGAAUAGACCCGAAACCGGGCGAUCUAUCCAUGGGCAGGUUGAAGGUUAGGUAACACUGACUGGAGGACCGAACCGACUACCGUUGAAAAGUUAGCGGAUGACCUGUGGAUCGGAGUGAAAGGCUAAUCAAGCUCGGAGAUAGCUGGUUCUCCUCGAAAGCUAUUUAGGUAGCGCCUCAUGUAUCACUGUAGGGGGUAGAGCACUGUUUCGGCUAGGGGGUCAUCCCGACUUACCAAACCGAUGCAAACUCCGAAUACCUACAAGUGCCGAGCAUGGGAGACACACGGCGGGUGCUAACGUCCGUCGUGAAAAGGGAAACAACCCAGACCGUCAGCUAAGGUCCCAAAGUUAUGGUUAAGUGGGAAACGAUGUGGGAAGGCUUAGACAGCUAGGAGGUUGGCUUAGAAGCAGCCACCCUUUAAAGAAAGCGUAAUAGCUCACUAGUCGAGUCGGCCUGCGCGGAAGAUGUAACGGGGCUCAAACCAUACACCGAAGCUACGGGUAUCACGUAAGUGAUGCGGUAGAGGAGCGUUCUGUAAGCCUGUGAAGGUGAGUUGAGAAGCUUGCUGGAGGUAUCAGAAGUGCGAAUGCUGACAUGAGUAACGACAAUGGGUGUGAAAAACACCCACGCCGAAAGACCAAGGUUUCCUGCGCAACGUUAAUCGACGCAGGGUUAGUCGGUCCCUAAGGCGAGGCUGAAAAGCGUAGUCGAUGGAAAACAGGUUAAUAUUCCUGUACUUCUGGUUAUUGCGAUGGAGGGACGGAGAAGGCUAGGCCAGCUUGGCGUUGGUUGUCCAAGUUUAAGGUGGUAGGCUGAAAUCUUAGGUAAAUCCGGGGUUUCAAGGCCGAGAGCUGAUGACGAGUUACCCUCUGGGUGACGAAGUGGUUGAUGCCAUGCUUCCAAGAAAAGCUUCUAAGCUUCAGAUAACCAGGAACCGUACCCCAAACCGACACAGGUGGUUGGGUAGAGAAUACCAAGGCGCUUGAGAGAACUCGGGUGAAGGAACUAGGCAAAAUGGCACCGUAACUUCGGGAGAAGGUGCGCCGGUGAGGGUGAAGCACUUGCUGCGUAAGCCCACGCCGGUCGAAGAUACCAGGCCGCUGCGACUGUUUAUUAAAAACACAGCACUCUGCAAACACGAAAGUGGACGUAUAGGGUGUGACGCCUGCCCGGUGCCGGAAGGUUAAUUGAUGGGGUUAGCUAACGCGAAGCUCUUGAUCGAAGCCCCGGUAAACGGCGGCCGUAACUAUAACGGUCCUAAGGUAGCGAAAUUCCUUGUCGGGUAAGUUCCGACCUGCACGAAUGGCGUAACGAUGGCGGCGCUGUCUCCACCCGAGACUCAGUGAAAUUGAAAUCGCUGUGAAGAUGCAGUGUAUCCGCGGCUAGACGGAAAGACCCCGUGAACCUUUACUAUAGCUUUGCACUGGACUUUGAAUUUGCUUGUGUAGGAUAGGUGGGAGGCUUUGAAGCGUGGACGCCAGU
This 1740-nucleotide ribosomal RNA is filed under the name Pseudomonas sp. NFACC36. RNAcentral's name for it is "bacterial LSU rRNA". It matches the Rfam family "Bacterial large subunit ribosomal RNA", at positions 447 to 2175 of the family's 2925-position model. The record is from RNAcentral. Lineage: Bacteria; Pseudomonadati; Pseudomonadota; Gammaproteobacteria; Pseudomonadales; Pseudomonadaceae.